ACCUACGGGAGGCAGCAGUGGGGAAUAUUGCACAAUGGGGGGAACCCUGAUGCAGCGACGCCGCGUGAGUGAAGAAGUAUUUCGGUAUGUAAAGCUCUAUCAGCAGGGAAGAUAAUGACGGUACCUGAAUAAGAAGCCCCGGCUAACUACGUGCCAGCAGCCGCGGUAAUACGUAGGGGGCAAGCGUUAUCCGGAUUUACUGGGUGGAAAGGGCGUGUAGGCGGGAAAGCAAGUAAGGUGUGCAAACCAUGGGCUCAAACU
RNAcentral lists this ribosomal RNA (261 nucleotides) under uncultured bacterium. RNAcentral's name for it is "partial 16S ribosomal RNA". It matches the Rfam family "Bacterial small subunit ribosomal RNA", at positions 337 to 615 of the family's 1533-position model. The record is from RNAcentral.